Molecule: ribosomal RNA, 395 nt
Filed under: uncultured Roseomonas sp.
Lineage: Bacteria; Pseudomonadati; Pseudomonadota; Alphaproteobacteria; Acetobacterales; Roseomonadaceae
Description: bacterial SSU rRNA
Rfam family: Bacterial small subunit ribosomal RNA
Source: RNAcentral
AGUGGCGGACGGGUGAGUAACGCGUGACAAUAAGGUUAAAGGUCGGGGACAACCACUGGAAACGGUGGCUAAUCCCGUAUGUGCCGCAAGGUAAAAGGCUUGCUGCCUGAAGAUGAGCUCGCGUCUGAUUAGCUAGUAGGUGGGGUAAGAGCCUACCUAGGCGACGAUCAGUAGCUGGUCUGAGAGGACGAUCAGCCACACUGGGACUGAGACACGGUCCAGACUCCUACGGGAGGCAGCAGUGGGGAAUUUUGGACAAUGGGGGCAACCCUGAUCCAGCAAUGCCGCGUGGGUGAAGAAGGUCUUCGGAUUGUAAAGCCCUUUCGGCGGGGACGAUGAUGACGGUACCCGCAAAAGAAGCCCCGGCUAACUUCGUGCCAGCAGCCGCGGUAAUA